This is a non-coding RNA of Onygenales sp. PD_40, 108 nucleotides long. The record is from the annotation of a GenBank genome assembly. Lineage: Eukaryota; Fungi; Ascomycota; Eurotiomycetes; Onygenales.
GGCACUAUGGCGGAGUGGUUAACGCGAUGCCCUGCUAUCCCCAAUUCGUUGAGUAUAUCAGUCCAGGCAUUUCCUUCGGGAGCGCAGGUUCGAAUCCUGCUGGUGUCG